This is a long non-coding RNA of Aedes albopictus (Asian tiger mosquito), 1229 nucleotides long. RefSeq lists it as uncharacterized. Lineage: Eukaryota; Metazoa; Arthropoda; Insecta; Diptera; Culicidae. The transcript is spliced from 2 exons. The record is from RefSeq and is a predicted model, not a curated record.
UUCAAUCUGUUCAAGAAAUGUAGUCACAUGGAUGUCCAUUAGACCUCGCAAUGUUACGAGCAAUUCAAUAUUGUGGUAGUUGGACAUUCCGUGAAAUACGAAUGGCCUCCAAAACACUUUGAAGUUUGGGUUACGAUAUCUACAUCCUGUAUCAUGCUUAAAUUGUAAAAAAAUAUUCGUGAAAUGUAGUAUAUACUGCUGAUGGAGCCUCAUUGCACAACUAUAAUGCUUUUGGUACAUUCAUGGGAUAUUCCAGGCUUUCCAAACUAUUCUGGAAUUAGGACCUUCAAGGUCUACAGGCUGUACUCUUGUUUCUGUUCACUCUAUCGGUAUAAUUCCUUCACGUUUGUGUCUGUUGCACCUCAUAAUAUUACGAGUAUCUCUAUGUGUUGCUAUUUGGGUGUCCACUGGCAUACAAAUAGACACAAUGUUCUGGCAGCACUGCAUAAGUGCCGGUUGCCACGAGAUAUGCGUUUGGUCGAUGAGGUAUUGGUAAGUGUCGUUUGACAGGUGUCAGAGUGACAGUAGAGAUGACAUGAGAAGGAGAGAGAAUCAGAUAGUUGUCAAAGGUAUGAAGUAAAUAAAAACAAAAUAGGAAGAAUUGAAUCAGUUUGAAGAUACCAUUUUGCGAUUGUGGAUAAUCGGUAUAUUAAUAAAAGUAGAAUUUGAGGAUAGUUGUUUGGUGAUUAAAAAGGAAGUGGAGAUAGAGAAAGGUGCGCGAGUGAUUUGUAGACGAGAGGUUUGGUUAAACGAUCACAAGCAAACAUAGUAAGUAGCAAAACUUAUGAGUAAUUAGAUAGCAUAGUAAGAAACUGUAAUCCAUAGUAUUCUUCGGACCACGGGGACAAAUUUGGAGAUUUGCUUGAAAUUGAGGCCCGACGGGACAAGACAUUGGACAGCAGACUAAGGAAUCAGAUAUCGACGCACGACGAGGACGAGACUUUGCACAGUGGUCCAAAUUUGAGUAUUUCGAGGACAAAAUUCGUAAGUUAGAUUAUUUCAUAUAACAAAUUGAUAUGAACUCAAAUACAAAUGUAAUAAUUUAUUAGGUGGCUACGUUGCCUGUAAAGGAAGGUAGGAGGGCAGCCAAUAGAGGAGAAAAUCAAACUAAAAUUGUAAGUUGUACAAAAUUAUAACAAUUGAAAACUGAUCUAUUUCUAACGAAAAUUGUGAAUGUUUAUUUCGAAUUACAGUUUGAUCUGCCACAAUAAAAGGCCGAUUCACAAAAA